CAGAGUCACGGGAAGGUGGAGCCUUAAGCUCCCAGAAGAAAUCAAUUUAAUCUCCCACUAGGGUGACAGGAUCAAGUGUAUGUCUCCAAAGGGCUUUUGCUAAGUCUGGUCUAAAAAUCCUCCAGAAACAGAGACUCCAUGGUAACCUAUGGCCUGUUCCUACGCAUCACCACCCAAAGAGAUAAUCUGGGAGAGCAGCAAGUGACUACUCCUCUGGGCUUUGGAGGCAAGCCAACACAAUUACUCUCACCCUGUUCUCCGAGGUGGCAGCUGCAGCGAGAGCAGGAUGCAGAAAACAGCCAUGAAACCAAAGGGUUACAGACUUAGCAGCCAAGUCCUCGUUCAUCUGCCGAUCAGCCAGAGCUCCUAACUUGGAUGACAAAACCUCACAGCUCACUCUUUGUGUUGAAUAGUUACGAACUACCAGUCAAGUACAAAGUGCCCUCAUGAAGGUCUAAUGUUAGCCCCACUGUCCUUCCACCUGUCUUUAGUUGCUGAUGGUAGUAGUAGCAUAAAUAUGCAACCGAGCCAAGAGUAUGCUGUCUUGCAGAUUCUGUUCUCCUAAUGUGUCUAAUUGGACAGUGUUACUUAUAAAGUCUACUGAUACUCUGCCAAAUGCCAACUUAGAUUUUUGAUUGCAUUCAGCAACUUGCUCACACAAAGAAAAACACUUUCCCACUGAAACGCCUUAGCUCCUGGAUUGCAGAUAUGGCAGAUGUUUUGUGUAGGCAAUUAAGGUUAAGGAGAAACUAGUUACCUGUGAGGGACAGGUAGUGAGAGAGGAUAAUGCCUAAAUCCCAUUUCUAGGAUUUGCAGCUUCAUAGGAGAGGAAUAAUUCCGUUAUUUGAGCUAUGUGACAUCUUCAAAGAAGUUGCUGAAGCAUUUGGUAAGAGACAGAGUAAAUAAAAGUACAAAGGAAAAGAGAAAUACAGAAAGGUGAAGUAAUUUAUCCAAGUCAGGCUAAUCACAUUGGGCAGAGAAAAGAUCCCAGACUUUCUGAGUCCUAAGCCUGUAUCUUAGUUGCUAAGCAACUGUCCUGAAUAUAAGGGUGCCCAAAGCACAGCAUAUCAAAUAUUAUAACACUGGUGUACUGACACCUUCUGUUUUGAUUCGUGCCGUAUCUAAAGUAUAAGGGAAAGAAAUGAGCUGCUUUGUCCAGCUGCAACUUCAGUUCUUCUGCAUGUAAUCUCUUAAAUAAGACCCCUCAGUUUGGAGUCCAGUUGUUCAAAGCUUCCUUACCAGCAGACAUAAAAGAGCACUUCCAGCAGGUGAGUCAUACAGCUUCAUUCUGGAAUGAUUUCAUGAAGGUAUCUUGCUCCAAUGUCCAAGAGAAAUGAUGGGGAGGACCUUAGCUUAGAGUCCGAGCUAAGGUGCGUCAUCCAUAGAAACAAAUGGGUGAAACAAAUCUUGGCUUUCACGACUAAGAGGGCUGCUGGAAUACAUCUUUCAUCACUGUAAAAAUGGCUGAAAAUCCUAGUAUUGAGGAGAAAUGGGAAUUUUCUAAUAAGUAGAAAAGGAUUCUUGGAAUUACCAAGCCAAUGUCUGGAAUCCUUCAGUGACACUGUAAUUAUAUGUCACAUCUCCUUUAGCUGACUUUUGGAUGAUUUUCAGUUGGCAGGGUGGAAACAUCCAUCAACCAGCAAAUAUAGCUCAUAGGUCUAAAAUGACAGCCCAGCCUUCCCUGAAAGAAAUCAAGACCAGGGAGAUCAGUUCCAGCAAUGAGAGCCAAAGGUUUUCUUCUAAAGGUGUUGAAGAGCACCCCGGAGGUGGGCUGGGCUUCCCUGCUCAUACCAAGUGUUCACCAAACAGCUUUUGUUUGCACUUCUCUUAUACGCUAAACUGUUAAAAAAAAAAAAAAUCCAGAGCACCAUGGGUAGAAUGGAGAGGAAUUAGCAGAACACUGAUUAGAAAGUUAAAACUAAGAAAUAAUAAAUUACAAAGGGAAGAUUUACCAAAGUCUGGAUGAAAGCUGAUCUGCCUAAAUCCAUACAGCAAUAGACUUCACGUGCUUUUCAGAGCUACUAAAACCUAAAGGUACCUAAAUUCAUUACGUAUUUUUCUACUCAGCCUAAGCUUCCUGAAAAGAAUAUGUUUCCAUAUAUACUUGGUUAUACACCAGAAGUGCCUAUCCUGGCACACAUUAAUUCCUAUCUCCCACCAGUGUUUCUCCAAUGGUCAUGGUGGGUCCUACCAUUCAUGUUGGACUUGAUCCUAGCCUUAUGGCUCAGCUGAGGGUAAGUGAAAUCUAAAUGUUAUUCCCUGCUCCCAGUUAUGCACACGAAUAUACAUAUACAUAUACAUAUACAUAUAACUAUUGUUAAAUGAAAGCUGAAUUGAAAAUUUAGACAUUACAAUUCUGAGGCUGUAAUCCUGCAUUACCACUUCCCAGAUGAGUACUCUAACUGUUAAGCUACAGCCAAGCUUUUUCAUGACUGUCCUUCAUUGGGUCUGCACAGCACUGCUGCUGUUUUGGAUGCGCACUGGUUCAGACUCAAUGCAGGGGACAGGGAUUGCCGAUACUUUCACCAUUAAAGAGAUUUCAGUGAAGGUUCAGUAGAGCCUAGAAGCUGCAUCACCUGCUUCUUGGGAUCAACAAUUCUGAGGGAUGCAGUGCUUCUGUACGGAAAGGUGGUCUGGAUUGCACUUUGUAUGUCUUCAGAGAUGUCAGCCUGCACACUGACUGUGCAGAGGAUUUGGGCGAUCCUGUGAGGUGAAUAGAUAGGACCAUAUUCAACCAGGAUCAGGUACUCAGAUGUCUGGAGGUACUCAAAAGAUCCAAGGGGUAGCAUCUAAGUUAUUAAGUUAUUUAAGCUAAGUUGUGUCACAUUCAAUGACACAAAUUCUUCCUUAUGUCUUUCUGCCUCCUGUAAAAUGUCUUCUCCACUGAUCAUGAGAAUUUCUUAAUGGUAGAGUUAAUUAAGGGCAAUUAAAUAUUGGAACAACUUAGCUAGGGUCUCUAUCUACUCAAAUUUCUGAUUAGAAACUGGAUAGCUUUCUCAAAGAUAAGCUCAUGAAGACUUAAUGGCUUGAUGUAAGAAUUAUCUUGUAGGAGGCUACAUCCUUUGUCAUGCAAAAAGCACAACAGAUGCCCAAAGUAGUUCUAUUUGACUUUCAAUCUACUUAUGUACCUGACAGUAGCCACAAAAGAACUAAUUGUCAGCUUUGGUGAAGCUAUACUGCAUUCAUCAUCUGAGAAACCCAUCCAUGUGCUGUAUAUAUUUUAAAGGAAAAAAAAGAAUAAAAAAAAGCUGAGGGUAAGAAAAAGCUUGCAAGCGAAUCCUAGAAGUUUACAUUAAAAAUAUAAUUUGUAACCAUCUGUGUAGAACAAACCCAAUAAACCAUCAAUUAUCAGUGAGCUCUAUCAUUAAUGAAA
Molecule: long non-coding RNA, 3373 nt
Organism: Rhea pennata
Lineage: Eukaryota; Metazoa; Chordata; Aves; Rheiformes; Rheidae
Exons: 2
Source: RefSeq, a predicted model, not a curated record